RNAcentral lists this long non-coding RNA (804 nucleotides) under Coffea arabica (coffee). RNAcentral's name for it is "long non-coding RNA (CARA_LNC007729)". The record is from RNAcentral. Lineage: Eukaryota; Viridiplantae; Streptophyta; Magnoliopsida; Gentianales; Rubiaceae.
AGUAUACCGAAACGGUUGUCCAGGGUUCCAACCUACCCGACCGAGCCCAGUCCUGGCUCGAGUAGGUCAGUAACCGAGGCAGGGCCCAAGUUCAGCUUAGAGCUUACAACAUGCACAAGUAAUCAAGUAAUUCGGCAAAAGGUAAAAUUCAUCAUUUGAGUAGGUCGAGUGAGGUAAAGUAUACACUCGCCUAACAAUGAUGGACAACUUCAUAUAACAUGCGAUUCAUGAUAAUCAAGUGAUCAAGUAAGUUGGUGAUCACGUAAGCAGAUAAUCAAGUAAGCAAGUAGCCGAAUGGAUUAGAAAACGGUAAGUAAACACGGUAAACGGUAAACGGUGGUAAUUACGGUUAAUUGGCAGACAUAUGUCAUUUUAAUAGGCCACCAUUGGCCGAUUUUCACUUUUUCCACAUAAGGGUCGAGGAGAUUCACUCCAACCGACUUAUGCUGUCAUAGCAUAAUUAAUCAUUUAAACACAUCAUGUAGAUAUGCUCUCCAAACAUUUCAUAUCUAGUAUUUCAAGUAAUCACAUAAAUAUGCUCUUUAAGCAUUUCAUAUCGAAUAGUUCAAAUAUACAUAUUUCAGGUAUUUCAUGUCAAGUAAUUCAAGUAUACCUUAUUCAGAUAUGCAUGAGUGUGGUAAAUACUUAACAUAUAGCACUUAACACUUAAUAAUCAUGGGUUAUGCAUGUCAUAGACUUAUUCCAAUUACGUAUUCCUAUAUGGAACACUCACCUAUAGCAACAAGAGAGUAAUACUCAAACAAGUGUCUAGGCGUCCACUUCGAGUUCUUCUUGAAGGUCCCC